RNAcentral lists this ribosomal RNA (253 nucleotides) under uncultured bacterium. RNAcentral's name for it is "partial 16S ribosomal RNA". It matches the Rfam family "Bacterial small subunit ribosomal RNA", at positions 524 to 776 of the family's 1533-position model. The record is from RNAcentral.
GACGUAGGGCGCGAGCGUUGUCCGGAAUUAUUGGGCGUAAAGGGCUCGUAGGCGGUUUGUCGCGUCGGGAGUGAAAACUCAGGGCUUAACCCUGAGCCUGCUUCCGAUACGGGCAGACUAGAGGUAUGUAGGGGAGAACGGAAUUCAUGGUGUAGCAGUGAAAUGCGUAGAGAUCAUGAGGAAGACCAGUGGCGAAGGCGGGUCUCUGGACAGUUCCUGACACUGAGGCACGAAGGCCAGGGGAGCAAACGGG